GCAGAAGUAGCUCAGCUAGGAGAGCAUUAGACUAAAGAUCUAAAGGUUCCUGGUUCAAUUCCAGUUUUCCGCA
Molecule: non-coding RNA, 73 nt
Organism: Opisthocomus hoazin
Lineage: Eukaryota; Metazoa; Chordata; Aves; Opisthocomiformes; Opisthocomidae
Source: Rfam